AGUGAACGCUGGCGGUAGGCCUAACACAUGCAAGUCGAACGGCAGCACAGUAAGAGCUUGCUCUUACGGGUGGCGAGUGGCGGACGGGUGAGGAAUACAUCGGAAUCUACUUUUUCGUGGGGGAUAACGUAGGGAAACUUACGCUAAUACCGCAUACGACCUACGGGUGAAAGCAGGGGAUCUUCGGACCUUGCGCGAUUGAAUGAGCCGAUGUCGGAUUAGCUAGUUGGCGGGGUAAAGGCCCACCAAGGCGACGAUCCGUAGCUGGCCUGAGAGGAUGAUCAGCCACACUGGAACUGAGACACGGUCCAGACUCCUACGGGAGGCAGCAGUGGGGAAUAUUGGACAAUAGGCGCAAGCCUGAUCCAGCCAUACCGCGUGGGUGAAGAAGGCCUUCGGGUUGUAAAGCCCUUUUGUUGGGAAAGAAAAGCAGCAGGUUAAUACCCCGCUGUUCUGACGGUACCCAAAGAAUAAGCACCGGCUAACUUCGUG
RNAcentral lists this ribosomal RNA (492 nucleotides) under uncultured bacterium. RNAcentral's name for it is "partial 16S ribosomal RNA". It matches the Rfam family "Bacterial small subunit ribosomal RNA", at positions 29 to 507 of the family's 1533-position model. The record is from RNAcentral.